Molecule: unclassified non-coding RNA, 463 nt
Filed under: Hevea brasiliensis (rubber tree)
Lineage: Eukaryota; Viridiplantae; Streptophyta; Magnoliopsida; Malpighiales; Euphorbiaceae
Source: RNAcentral
GAAAAAAAAAAUAAUAAUAAAAAGCAAGGUCACCAACUACAUGAACAAAUUUGGCCUUUUAAAUCUUAUUUCCAUUCAAUUUCAACAUUCUACCUGAAUUUAAUCUAAACCUUAUUUCAAGUUUCAUUUUCCUUCUAAUGGUUUAACAAACUCAUGUAAUGCUUUAGCUAAUAAAGAGAAAUAUUACUCUUGCAUUCAAUUUAUAAAUAAGGUACUCCUAGUCUCUCUGUAGAGAAACUUAGGCAAAUCUCUGCUGUUCCCAAUUAAAGUAUCUAGCCACAUUCUGAUAAAAUCAAAUAGUUGCCAAUUUGCCACAAUUAUCGCAAAAAUUCCAAUCAAUAUUAAUGUACAUGGAUGCUUCUGCAAACCCCAUACAAAAUUUACAAUUUGAUGUACUCCAUUAAAAAAAUUUGCUAACAAAGGGCAAAGCUUUCAUCAAAAUUUUCCAACAUAAUCCAAGUCA